Molecule: long non-coding RNA, 4541 nt
Filed under: Equus caballus (horse)
Lineage: Eukaryota; Metazoa; Chordata; Mammalia; Perissodactyla; Equidae
Description: lncRNA (ENSECAG00000056923.1)
Source: RNAcentral
CAUAUUAACAGUCAAUAGAAGAAAAACCACAUGGUCAUAUCAAUUGAUAUAGAGAAAGCAUUUGACAAAAUUUGACAUCCAUUCAUGACAAAAAUUUUUAGCAAACUAGGAAUAGAAGGAAACUUCCUCAACCUGAUAAAGGGUGUCUACAAAAACCCACAGCUAACAUCACACUUAAUGGAGAAAGACUGAAUGUUUUCCUAAGUUCAGUAACAAGACAAGUAUCGUUUUUGGGGUUGCAUAUUUAGGUGGUGAAACUCUAACGCAAAGCAAAGAAUUGAUUAUUAGUCCAGCCAGGAUAGUGGUUCCCUCCAGGACGGAAGGGAGAGAGGCAGCUAUAAUUGAGAAGGGGCACUCAGGGGUCUUCUGGAUGCUGGUGAUAAUCUAUUUCUGACCUAAUGGUGGUUUCAGGGGUGUUCAUGUUAUGACAAUUUGUUAUGCUGUAUACUUGUUUUAGGCACUUUCUUGUAUUUGCAUUGUAUUUCUCAAUAAAAUGUUAUGGAAAAAAUGACUAUUUAAAAAAAAUUUUAAAGUUAGCUUUUUUAGAAAGAAAAAUUAGCACCUUACUCCUCAUAAUUUCCUAUAUUCUUAAUAUUAGCAGUAACAAUUAAUAAAUAGCUGAAAUAAAGAAUUGCCCUCAGGAGCUUUUAUUGUAAUCAAAAUCAUGAUUUUAACGACUCAGAAUGGAACGUGCUUAACUGCUGAGUUUGGUUUUCUCCUCUGCACAGUGAUGGGGGCUAGGACGCUUUCCUUCUGGUUCUGGGUGGGGCCCACCGCGCAGGGCAGAAUGCAGGAGCACCAGCCAGCAAUCUCCCGAGUCUGUUCUCAGCUUCAAUCCAAACCCCUCUGACUGAAAAACAAUGUCAAAAAUUGGCCUUAAUUACCUAAAAGCUUUUUAUAUAAGUUCCUUAGAAGAUUAUUUAUAGCAAAGCCAUUUAAUGUCAUUAAGAUAAUUCCAUGUGCAUUUUUUUAAAAACUUAUUUUAAAUUCUAGUGAUGGCUCAAAAUGUCUUUCCUAAUUAUUUAAGUUUCACUUGCUUAAAAUGCAGCUUAAAAUAAAAAUUUGGAUCAAGGGGCUAAUCAGAAUUUCAUAAAACACGCAUGGAUAGAAAAUCGAGGGUAGGUAAAAAUCCCAUAACUAAAUCCUAAUUUACAUCAGUACUAUCGAGAAAAUGUAAAGCUAUGUAGGCAGCCUUUAGCAAAAGGGCAUGUGUAAUAACCUCAAUUCUUCUUUUUCCAGAGUUGGAAAAAAAUUAUUUAAAGCUUGAAUUUUUGUUAGGAGUACUCAUUUACUCUAAAAUUUAAAAAGAUCUCACUUUAGGAGAGAUCUGGAGGUUUUCUAAAAUAUAUGAUAUAGCAGCCCAUUCUUGUGUUUUGUUACACAUGAUAAAGUUUCAAAUUUGUUAGUAAAAUGUAGAAUUCCCUUCUUUGUGAUUCCUUUUCAUCUUUUCUACGUCUAGAAAGUAGCUCCCCAUCCAAUUCUCAUUUUUCCAAUUAAGCUCAUUCAUUCACAUAACAAGUAUUGAACAUCUAAUACAUGAAACACUGUUCUAGGUAGACAUCAGAAAACAGACAAUAUUUCCCACCCCAUGGAGACAAAAAACAGAAUAAGUAUAUUACAUGAUAAUUAGAAGGUAAUAAGAGCCAUGAGAAAAAACCUAUAGCAAGGUUCUAGAGAUCAAUAGUGUCAGGACAAGGGCUGGGAGGUGGGGCUUGUUGAGAUUAUAAACAAGGUGAUCAGAGAAGAACUCAUGUGAAGAGAUGCCAUUUGAGGAAGCUACUUAAAGAAGGUGAGUGGGUAAGCCAUGUAGAAAUUUGGAGGGAGAACAUCCUAGGUGAAGGGAAGAGCAUGUGCAAAAGCUCUGAGGCCAGAGGAUGCCUAGAGUGUUCAAGGAACAGCAUAGAGUUCACUAUGGCUGGAGCAGAGGGAGCAAGUGGAAGAAUAAUCAGAGAUGCAGUCAGAGAGAUCGUUCUGACGGCUUUGUUGAAAAUACACUGUAGGGAGACAGGGUAGAUGCAGAGUGACCUGUUAAGAGGAUAUUACAAUAAUCCUGGUGAGAUGUGAUGGUGGCUUGGACCACAAUGUAACCGUGAAAGUGGUAACUGGAGGUCAGAUCUUGGAUAGAAGCUGAAGGUAAGAUUUUUCAGUGGAAGGAUGGAGUGGUUGUCAACUGAGAUGAAGAAGAAUAUGGGUGGAGGGGGGAUGGACAGGAUUAGUUCAACUUUUGACAUGUUAAGUUAGAUACCCAUUUGACAUUAAAGGACAACUUCGAGUAGUGUAAUGGGUUGAACAGUGGCACCCCAAAAUCGUGUCCACCCAGAACCUCAGAAUGUGACUUUAUGUGGAAAUGGGAUCUUUGCAGAUACAAUUUUUUAAAUUAAGAUGAGAUCAUACUGGAUUAGGAAGAGCUCUAUAUCCAAUGACUAGUGUCCUUAUAAGAAGGCCAAGUGAACACACAGAGACAGACAAAGGAGAACGUAAUGUGAGAAUGGAGGCCGAGAGUAGAAGAGUGAUGUGUGUACAGACCAAGUCAUGCCAAGGAUUGCCUGCAACCACCAGAAGCUAUGGGAGAGACAUGGAACAGCUUCUCCCUCAAUGCCUCCAGAAGGAACCAACCCUGCGGACAACUUGAUUUCAGACUUCUGGCCUUCUAAACUGUGAGAUCAUAAAUUUCUGUUUUAUGCCCCCUAGUUUGUGGUAAUUUGAUAUGGUAGCCCUAAGAGAAUAAUAUAAGUAGGCGAUUGAAAAUAUGAGAGUGAAGUUUAGGGGAAAGAUCUAGACCAAAGAUAUGAAUUUGCGUGUUGGAAUCAUGUAGACAGUGUUUAGAGCCAUGAGAUUAAAUUUGAAGAAAAUUGAUGCACAUAGGCAAGAGAACAGCAAGUACCAAGCCCUGGGGCAUCAAUGUUAAGAGUUUGAGAAGAAGAGAAGGAAGCAGGUAAGGAGAAUAACCGGUGAGGUGGGAGAAGAGGCAGGAGAGUAACAGCCUACAAGUCUCAUGAAGAGUCUUUUUUGAUGGAGAGUGGUCAGUUAAAUCGAGCGAGAUAAAAAAUCAAAAUUUCGCAUUGAACUGAUUAAUACAAUGGCCAUUUGGCAAAUUUCACAAAGAGUGUUUUGUUGGAGUCCUGGGAAAGAAAGUCCAAUUUGGAGUGGAUUCCGGGGAGUACGUGAGAAAAGGAAUUGUAUACAAUGACUGUAGAAAAGACAAGCGGCAAAACAGUGUAAUUUUGCUUUAAAAAAGAGCAGUCAAAAUGGGGUUUCUGGAGGAAUAAGUGAGGUCAAGAGAAGGUUGUUUGAAAACGGGAAAAAUAAUGGCAUACUUACAUGAAAAAGAGAGUGAUCCAGGAAAGAGGUGGUGACUGAGCACUGGAAACGUGGUGAGUCCCAAUUGAGACGUGCUGUACGCACAAAAGACACACCAGAUUGCAUAGACUUAGAAUGAGCAAACAAAUGUAAAAUAGCUUAUGAAUAAUUUUUACAUUGAUUACAUGUUGAAAUAAUAUUUUGAGUAUAUUGAGUUAACAAAAAGAUACAAUUCAAAUUCUUUUCACCUAUUUCUUUUUACCUUUGGUACUAGAAAAUUUUUAAUUCCUCGUGUGGUUUGCAUUAUAUUUCUAUUGGACAGAGCUGCUCCAGUGCCCAAGGGAAGGAAUCGGCCUUACAUUGGAGCAAGAACAGUCUGUCUAAGAUACUAAGAGGGAAAGCAGUGCAUAGGGGUGAAAUGCUGGUGGGUGAGCGGAGGAGGUGGUGGGUGUUUGAAAAAGGCUUUAGUUUUCUCAGUGAAUGAAGAAGGAAGAUAAUCCCUAAAUUGGGUUCAAUUAACUGUGUAGAAUUCAUUUGGUGAAGAAUGUAAGGUAAGAAUCUAAAUAGAUUUUCCCCAAAUAACUGACCAUUUGCCCCAGAACCACUUAUUAAGUAAGACUUCCUCCCCACUGAUGUGUGAUGGCUUGUUUUUCAUAAAAUAAAUUCUGUGAUUUCUUUCUGAGCUGUCUGCUCCAUUGAUCUGACAAGGCUUCCACUUGACCCAUAAUGGUUUAAUUAUUGUAGCUAUUGAAGGGGUUCAGAACAUGCCAGCCAAAAACAUGCCAUUUUGGCACAUUGAUUAUUUUGAGCUGAAGGCACUUGAAAAACAGCAGAUGCAGGACUGGCUCUCUGAUCUCCCCCUUUCUACCUAAAAGCAGAUCAUAAAAUUUCCCAAGAGAAAGGUGCCUCACUGCACCAGGAAGAGAAGAGCAUCCUUAUCGUGGGAGAUGGGCAAUCAAUACCAGAACGCACGUGCACGAACAACCUGCUAAAAUAAGCUUCAUCUUCCUUUCUAAUUGAUACGUUGUGGAAAGCUCUGGAUGUAUGCAUAUGAAGCUUAUAUUUAUUCUCUACCACUUGUCAAGAACCUGCUAUGUACCAGGCCACGUGCAGGUGCUAAUCUUCACAGCCACUGUGAGGGAAUUGAAAUUAAUUAAUUUAUUAUUUUAAUAGUUUUUCAGUUAAUUCCCUGAAGUUUUCUCUAUAUGCAAUUAUAUCAUCUACACAAAAUAAUAUCCCUA